Molecule: long non-coding RNA, 605 nt
Filed under: Amborella trichopoda
Lineage: Eukaryota; Viridiplantae; Streptophyta; Magnoliopsida; Amborellales; Amborellaceae
Description: long non-coding RNA (ATRI_LNC004962)
Source: RNAcentral
CCAUCGAUUAGUAGCUUCUAUGGCUGAGCCCCCUUGAGUUACUGGAGGCCUACACUCCAUCCGGUUGGGAGCUUGAAGGUUGAAGGUGGGUAUCUGACCUGCCUCUACAGGGCUAACUCCGAAUCUGACCUGUCUACCCUGGGUAGGAGAAGCCCGUUGGAUGGGUAGUGGACUUGCCCUUUGCCAGCAUAGAAGCGGUGGACUGCACUUAUCGAGCCUACACUUAUCGGACAUCGAACAAAAGGACCUAAGCCCGUACACGCAUGAUUGUACGCAUUAAUGUAGCCUACAUAGAAGCUAGGCUUGGGGACACAAUAUCAGAGGCCUUCAUGAUACGCACCGCCCAAGGCCACUCACUAGAGCAUGGGUUCUAUAUCCGUGGUUUCAAGUUCCACAGGGGCCUAUUUAGGGAACUCGUGGGAUAACUUAACAGGAUAUAAGAAUAGGAGGCUGAUAUCCUGUCUUAGUACCCGUCUUUGUAACAGUUUGUUCCAAGAUAGGCCAAGUAGCCAGAUAAAAGCCCUAUAUAGUUGGUCUACAUUUAUAGGGCCUCGGGACAGGUGCUUAUAGAUGGGUACUAAGGUUCAGAAUGACCUAUAAUUCCA